This 451-nucleotide unclassified non-coding RNA is filed under the name Hevea brasiliensis (rubber tree). Lineage: Eukaryota; Viridiplantae; Streptophyta; Magnoliopsida; Malpighiales; Euphorbiaceae. The record is from RNAcentral.
GGGGAAGGAGAAUUGCAUGUGAUUUUUCUGAUUGGCUUAGGUUUCAGCCCCAGCAAGCAAGUAGUAAACAAAUCUAAAAAUAUUCUUUUAAAAUUUAAGCACAUUGGUUGGCCUAUCAUGAUCAUACGCCCUAAAAUAUAUACAUGGAUUAAAGACAAAAGGAGGAAGAAAUACAACCAAUCCAAAAUAGAACAAAUAAGGGGAAAGAAAAAAGAAGAGGAAGAAGAAAGAAAGAGAACACUCUACAUCAAAAUGGGUGAUUUCAUCUGCUUUAUCAAUUUGAACAGUUUCAUUGCAUGGCUCAUAUCUCAUUUCUAUGGUGCAGAAAAAGGUUAUGAAAAUAAUACUGCAACAAACGUAUUAAACUUUUGUGGCGCAUUACCUGAGAGGACACCAGGAAGACCAUGUUUCUCAGCUUCUUUAAUUGGUGACUGAAGGAGACCCGUGAGUC